This 501-nucleotide ribosomal RNA is filed under the name uncultured bacterium. RNAcentral's name for it is "bacterial SSU rRNA". It matches the Rfam family "Bacterial small subunit ribosomal RNA", at positions 30 to 504 of the family's 1533-position model. The record is from RNAcentral.
CGAACACUGGCGGCAUGGAUUAGGCAUGCAAGUCGAACGAGAACGCUCUCUUCGGAGAGUUAGUACAGUGGCGAACGGGUGAGUAACGGGUGGAAAACCUGCCCUUCAAUGGGGGAUAACGGUUCUAACGAACCGCUAAUACCGCAUACGACCUUUUUUUCGCAUGGGAAAAAGGUGAAAGAUGGCCUCUUCUUGAAAGCUGUCGUUGAAGGAUGGUUCCGCCUCCCAUUAGCUAGUUGGUGGGGUAAUGGCCUACCAAGGCGACGAUGGGUAGCCGGCCUGAGAGGGUGUCCGGCCACACUGGGACUGAGAUACGGCCCAGACUCCUACGGGAGGCAGCAGUCGAGAAGCUUCGGCAAUGGGCGAAAGCCUGACCGAGCGAUGCCGCGUGAGUGAAGAAGGUCCUAUGGAUUGUAAAGCUCUGUCAGAUUGGGAAGAACGCUUUGCGGUUAAUACCCGUGAAGUUUGACGGUACCAUCAGAGGAAGCACCGGCUAACUCC